RNAcentral lists this ribosomal RNA (366 nucleotides) under uncultured organism. Its description in RNAcentral is "partial 16S ribosomal RNA". It matches the Rfam family "Bacterial small subunit ribosomal RNA", at positions 526 to 896 of the family's 1533-position model. The record is from RNAcentral.
GGAGGGGUGCAAGCGUUAUCCGGAUUUAUUGGGUUUAAAGGGUACGUAGGCGGUAGAGUCAGUCAGUGGUGAAAGCCAACAGCUUAACUGUUGAACUGCCAUUGAUACUGCUUUACUUGAGUAUAGUCGAAGUAGGUGGAAUUCCACAUGUAGUGGUGAAAUGCAUAGAUAUGUGGAGGAACACCAAUAACGAAGGUAGCUUACUAGGCUAUUACUGACGCUGAGGUACGAAAGCGUGGGGAGCAAACGGGAUUAGAGACCCCGGUAGUCCACGCCGUAAACGAUGGUCACUCGAUGUAUAUAUUUAUAUAUGUGUCUUAGCGAAAGCGUUAAGUGACCCACCUGGGGAGUACGCUCGCAAGAGUG